CAAGGCCAAAUCGGCAUCCAAAUAGAUACAACGAAGAAUAGAGGGAGACAUAACAGAUAGCCAAUUACAAGGAAGACUAUUCUUAUAGCACAAUUUUGCUAAAGAAUCAGCUAUCAUAUUUGCUUUCCUAUUCACUAGAGAAAAAUUGAUUUCCAAAAAAUUAGGAAUAAAAGAGCAAAUAUGAAUUACAGCUGCCUUCCAACUGUGAGGAUUUCUGACAG
RNAcentral lists this unclassified non-coding RNA (221 nucleotides) under Hevea brasiliensis (rubber tree). Lineage: Eukaryota; Viridiplantae; Streptophyta; Magnoliopsida; Malpighiales; Euphorbiaceae. The record is from RNAcentral.